This 529-nucleotide ribosomal RNA is filed under the name uncultured bacterium. RNAcentral's name for it is "partial 16S ribosomal RNA". It matches the Rfam family "Bacterial small subunit ribosomal RNA", at positions 355 to 874 of the family's 1533-position model. The record is from RNAcentral.
UGGGGAGUAUUGCACAAUGGGCGCAAGCCUGAUGCAGCCAUGCCGCGUGUGUGAAGAAGGCCUUCGGGUUGUAAAGCACUUUCAGCGAGGAGGAAGGUGGUGAGCUUAAUACGCUCAUCAAUUGACGUUACUCGCAGAAGAAGCACCGGCUAACUCCGUGCCAGCAGCCGCGGUAAUACGGAGGGUGCAAGCGUUAAUCGGAAUUACUGGGCGUAAAGCGCACGCAGGCGGUUUGUUAAGUCAGAUGUGAAAUCCCCGGGCUCAACCUGGGAACUGCAUUUGAAACUGGCAAGCUAGAGUCUCGUAGAGGGGGGUAGAAUUCCAGGUGUAGCGGUGAAAUGCGUAGAGAUCUGGAGGAAUACCGGUGGCGAAGGCGGCCCCCUGGACGAAGACUGACGCUCAGGUGCGAAAGCGUGGGGCAGCAAACAGGAUUAGAUACCCUGGUAGUCCACGCUGUAAACGAUGUCGAUUUGGAGGUUGUGCCCUUGAGGCGUGGCUUCCGGAGCUAACGCGUUAAAGUCGACCGCCU